This 77-nucleotide transfer RNA is filed under the name Bacillota bacterium. Its description in RNAcentral is "Firmicutes bacterium (anaerobic digester metagenome) tRNA-Pro". It matches the Rfam family "tRNA". Rfam says of the family: Transfer RNA (tRNA) molecules are approximately 80 nucleotides in length. The record is from RNAcentral. RNAcentral also lists the same sequence under 1 other name. Lineage: Bacteria; Bacillati; Bacillota.
CGGGGCGUGGCUCAGCUUGGUAGAGCGUCGCGUUCGGGACGCGAAGGUCGCAAGUUCAAAUCUUGUCGCCCCGACCA